Molecule: long non-coding RNA, 893 nt
Filed under: Ananas comosus (pineapple)
Lineage: Eukaryota; Viridiplantae; Streptophyta; Magnoliopsida; Poales; Bromeliaceae
Description: long non-coding RNA (ACOM_LNC016586)
Source: RNAcentral
UGCAAUACGCAAAAAUAAAUAAAUAAAUAAAAUAUAAAUAUAAAUAAAAUAAAAAUAAAAAUAAAAAUCCCUUCACUACAAACUUUGUAAAAACUUCUUGUUUUUAAAAAUCGCCUGGGACUUAGGGGCGUUUGGAUUGACGUAUUUGUAGAUUCAACAUAAGUUAAGUAUAGUGGUGUUUGAGUUUUCCUGAAGUGUGAUUAUUAUUUUUUUUUUUUUUUGAUGUAACUCGUACCGUCUGAAAGUUAAAUUCAAUCACUUCUGUUGUUUGUUUUGAUGUAACUUGGUGCUGGUAAAAUUAGUUUUUUGAGUUCCGUUGUUUGUUUUGAUGUAAGUAAGUGGAUCUCAUUAUCUCCUAAAUAUAGUAGUAAAUUUACCACUAUAAAAUUUAAUUUAUUAUAUAAUUAAUUUUUUUAUUAUUAUUUAAAAAUAAUAAUAAUUUAUUAUAAAUAAGGUAAUUCUAACCCAUUAUAAAGUAAGUAGAGUUUAGGUUUUACUGUUUAAUAAUUUUUUUAGAGGAGGUUGAGUGUAGUGAAAGUCGAGUUCGGCACUUUAGAGGAGGAAGUCGAGAGUAAGUGAAGUGGAGCUCUAACGUAACUUGAGUUACAUUAUAUUUUUCACUUACUUUAAAACAAAUAACGGAAGUGAUGGAACUUGAGUUCCAUCACUCCACUUACACCAAAACAAACGGGCCCUAACUGGUGGAAUUGGUCUGACUAUUACUCAAUUUCUUAACCAAUUCGAUUUGACCCAUAAAAAGAUUUUAAAAAUCAUAUUAACAGUUUGAACAAGCGGUUCAACUGGUAAACUAGUCAAUCGAUCCGAUUUUAAUUCAACCAGUCCGAAGGGUCACUUAUCAUAGAUCAUCGAUCGGACGAUUCAAUCAGCUCGAU